This is a long non-coding RNA of Papaver somniferum (opium poppy), 1686 nucleotides long. RefSeq lists it as uncharacterized. NCBI's taxonomy places the organism in Eukaryota, Viridiplantae, Streptophyta, Magnoliopsida, Ranunculales, Papaveraceae. The transcript has 2 exons. The record is from RefSeq and is a predicted model, not a curated record.
ACCAGAGAAAAAACCCUUAGAGAAAAUUAAAAAAAAAACUACCGCGGGGGCCUCUUUUUUCUCAGAUUUAGUCCAUUAUGGACUAGAUUUGGGUAGGAAUCCAUCGAUAGCAUAUAGUUCAUAACCUAUUAGUAGAUUCUUAUUAUUUUGCCAUGUUGUUUUUACCCCCUUAUAGAACCCUAAACCUAUUUUCCAUCAUGAAUCCUUUUUAUAUGCUUGGUUAAUCUUCAAUUCCACCGACCCAUAUGAGGCUGUAGACUUCAUUAGAUGCUAUGUUUGUGAUGUUUCCGUUAAUAUAAUAGCUCUGAUUCAACCUCAAAGUUUUGAAUUUCUGAUGUUGGUGCCUGCCUUACCUAGAUCCUGAUGGUGAUGUUAUUGGGUCUAUUCAUUUUUGAAUCGUUCCUUUCUUCUUCAACAUCCGUUCUUCAAGAUCUGAUAGAACAGAGGUGUCAUAGUGGUUAAUCUGUGAGUCUUUCGACGUGUGUUGUUGUAUCUGGUAUGGUUGGUCUUUGAACCAUACUUCACGGAAUGGAGCGGAGCUAGUCAAUGUCCUUCAAUUUGUGUAAAUCCAAUUUUGGUGGAAUAGAGAGUAAGUUAUACGAGGAUGACAAUGAAUGAAGUGUGAGGACACUAUGGUUUUGAUUAUAAGCUUUUUAGUAGUAAGUUCAAUCACUACUACCUAAGGUCAGUUAUUCUCAUCAUCAGGAGCAACAAGUCGAAUCACCAUCAAUUUUUAGAACAUGAUCCUUGUAUGAAACUUUGAAGUUUACAUCAUAAUUUAGCGCUAAAAGCCUACGUAUCUCAUGACCAUCUUAUGGGUCGGUGGAUAAUCUUCAGAUUUUAAUUUAUUGUUCCUAUAUGACCUUUUUAUUGUAUUAGUUAUACUGUGUCUCUGUAUUUUUCGUUAGCUGCAGUCGAGUAUGAAUACUAAUCUUAGUGUAGCGUCUUUCCAUAUAUCUAGUUUACUUUAAAGAGCGGAUCUAAUAGGUAUUGUAGUUCUAUUUCUUGCAUAGUUGUUCUGUAAGUGCUAUAUCUAUAAAGCACAAGUCUAAUAGGUAUUAUAAUAGUUUUUAGUCCUAGUCUAAAUAGUAUUCCAGGCAUCUUUUUUACUUCCGCACUUUGCUUCAGUUUAUGUUAGUAAUCCUCAGGCUAAAUACACAAGUCAAAACUAUCGUUAUGGAUCAAGAGGAAAAAAUAUAAGAUGGACGGGUAAUACACGGGCAAGUCUCCUCAACAUCUUGUUACAAGAACCUGACUGGCAUCUUGGACCAAUUGCAUCAAAAUCAUCCACCAACAACCAAGUUCCUUUGGGCACAACGGUGCCUAUCAAAAGUAUAACUUUUCUUGUGGAAAGCAUUCGUCGAAGGUCCACGGUUCCUCGACAACCUCACCAAUUCCAACAUUUUCCCCCGAUGCAAUACUAAUCCGGAGAAUUUUGAUCCUUCUCUACACCACUAUCUUAUUACAGAAGAUUAUAGACUUGUUGAUCCAAUUGUAACCGUUAAAUUUUCGGGUAUAUCUUGUUUCAAAAAAAAAAUGAUGAAUCAUAAGGACAAUUUUGAGGUUAAUCUAAUGAUUAUAUAUUUAACCUCUAUUGAAGUGAUGAUCAUAUUUAUGUUGUUUUGAUCAUCUUAUGAGUCACCAGUCUUGUAUUUUCAUGUACGGUGAAAUGAACCAUUAUUGUUA